RNAcentral lists this transfer RNA (73 nucleotides) under Sedimentisphaerales bacterium. Its description in RNAcentral is "tRNA-Arg". It matches the Rfam family "tRNA". From Rfam's summary of the family: Transfer RNA (tRNA) molecules are approximately 80 nucleotides in length. Their secondary structure includes four short double-helical elements and three loops (D, anti-codon, and T loops). Lineage: Bacteria; Pseudomonadati; Planctomycetota; Phycisphaerae; Sedimentisphaerales. The record is from RNAcentral.
GUCCCCGUAGCUCAAUGGAUAGAGCGUUGGCCUCCGGAGCCAAAGGCUGUGAGUUCGACUCUCACCGGGGAUA